UACGGAGGGUGCAAGCGUUAUCCGGAUUUACUGGGUUUAAAGGGUGCGUAGGUGGAUAAUUAAGUCAGUGGUGAAAUCUUCAGGCUUAACCUGGAAACUGCCAUUGAUACUAUUUGUCUUGAAUACUUUUGGAGGUAAGCGGAAAUAUGUCAUGUAGCGGUGAAAUGCUUAGAUAUGACAUAGAACACCAAUUGCGAAGGCAGCUCGUUACACGAAGAUUGACUCUGAGGCACGAAAGCGUGGGGAUCAAAACAGGA
Molecule: ribosomal RNA, 257 nt
Filed under: uncultured bacterium
Lineage: Bacteria
Description: partial 16S ribosomal RNA
Rfam family: Bacterial small subunit ribosomal RNA
Source: RNAcentral